UAGAAACCUCUAGAAGCCCCAAAAGCAACACAUUUGCAUCCCUCAACCAGCAAUAAGGUUAGCACAACCUUAGCCAAAACAAACAGAGGUAAACUAGGGACAAAACGUGAAAAGAGCCCCUAUACAUCAACACCAUCAUUCACAGAAGUAUCCAAAGACCAGAAAGACGAUCAAACUCCCCUGUACACUUCCAGGAUCCUUUCUGUAUCCUUUACAGUGCCCAAAUUACCCCUCAAGCACCAGAAGCUUAACCUCCCCAAGUCCCUGCACACAGAAACAUUCAGCAACAAAAUAGCCAUGGCCUCCUCAGAAAAAUCCUCCAACAUAGGCUCAACAAGCAGAGCUCCAACCACAAAAACCAAU
Molecule: long non-coding RNA, 363 nt
Filed under: Theobroma cacao (cacao)
Lineage: Eukaryota; Viridiplantae; Streptophyta; Magnoliopsida; Malvales; Malvaceae
Description: long non-coding RNA (TCAC_LNC003585)
Source: RNAcentral